Molecule: ribosomal RNA, 438 nt
Filed under: uncultured bacterium
Lineage: Bacteria
Description: bacterial SSU rRNA
Rfam family: Bacterial small subunit ribosomal RNA
Source: RNAcentral
UACGGAAGGCAGCAGUGGGGAAUAUUGCACAAUGGGCGAAAGCCUGAUGCAGCUAUGCCGCGUGUAUGAAGAAGGCCUUAGGGUUGUAAAGUACUUUCAUCGGGGAGGAAAAAACAAAACUAAUAAUUUUAUUUCUUGACGUUACCCGAAAAAGAAGCACCGGCUAACUCCGUGCCAGCAGCCGCGGUAAUACGGAGGGUGCUAGCGUUAAUCAGAAUUACUGGGCGUAAAGAGCACGUAGGUGGUUUUUUUAAGUCAGAUGUGAAAUCCCUGGGCUUAACCUAGGAACUGCAUUUUGAAACUGAAAUACUAGAGUAUCGUAGAGGGAGGUAGAAUUCUAGGUGUAGCGGUGAAAUGCGUAGAUAUCUGGAGGAAUACCUGUGGCGAAAGCGGCCUCCUAAACGAAUACUGACACUGAGGUGCGAAAGCGUGGGGAGC